CAGCCAUGGCGCGUGCUAUACUGCAAGUAGAACGCUGAGGAUGGCGCUUGCCUAAUCCGAGAGUUGCCAACGGGUGAGUAGCGCGUAGGGAACCUACCUCAUAGCGGGAGAUAACUAUUGGAAACGAUAGCUAAUACCGCAUGAUACUAGAGUACACAUGUACUUAAUUUAAAAGGAGCAAUUGCUUCACUAUGAGAUGGACCUGCGUUGUAUUAUCUACGUGGUGAGGUAACGGCUCCCCAAGGUGACGAUACAUAGCCGACCUGAGAGGGAGAUCGGCCACUCUGGGACUGACACCCCCCCCAUACUCCUACGGGAGGCCGCAGGAGGGAAUCUUCGGCCAUGCACAGAGGUGUGACCGAACAACGCCGCGUGAGUGAAGAAGGUUUUCGGAUCGUAAAUCUCUGUUGUUAGAGAGAACGGUAAUGGGAGUGGAAAAUCCAUUACGUGACGGUAACUAACCAGAAAGGGACGGCUAACUACGUGCCAGCAGCCGCGGUAAUACGUAGGUCUCGAGCGUUGUCCGGAUUUAUUGGGCGUAAAGCGAGCGCAGGCGGUUCUAUAAGUCUGAAGUAAAAGGCAGUGGCUCAACCAUUGUAUGCUUUGGAGACUGUAGAACUUGAGUGCAGAAGGAGAGAGUGAAAUUCCAUGUGUACCGGAGAUAUGCGUAUAUAUAUGGAGGAACCCCGGUGGCGAAAGCGGCUCUCUGGUCUGUAUCUGACGCUGAGGCUCGAAAGCGUGACGAGCAAACAGGAUUAGAUACCCUGGUACCUCCACGCCGUAAACGAUGAGUGCUAUGUGAUAGGCCCUUUCCGGCUCUCAGUGCCGCAGCUAACGUAUUAAGCACUCCGCCUGGGGAGUACGACCCGCCUGCUGAAACUCAAGAGAAUUGACAGCGCCCGCACAGUGUGGACCAUGAGUUUAGUUCGAAGCACGAGAGACCAUUACAGGCUUGACGUCCCUCUGACGCCUAGAUAUAUGAUUUUCUUCG
RNAcentral lists this ribosomal RNA (991 nucleotides) under Streptococcus iniae. Its description in RNAcentral is "bacterial SSU rRNA". It matches the Rfam family "Bacterial small subunit ribosomal RNA", at positions 31 to 1020 of the family's 1533-position model. The record is from RNAcentral. Lineage: Bacteria; Bacillati; Bacillota; Bacilli; Lactobacillales; Streptococcaceae.